UCAGGACGAACGCUGGCGGCAUGCCUAACACAUGCAAGUCGAACGGAGCAGUCCUUCGGGGACUACUUAGUGGCGAACGGGUGAGUAACGCGUGAGCAACCUGCCUCGGCGAGGGGGAUAACACUUGGAAACAGGUGCUAAUACCGCAUAAGACCACACUGUCGCAUGACAGAGGGGUCAAAGGAGCAAUCCGCGCUGAGAGGGGCUCGCGUCCCAUUAGGUAGAUGGCGGGAUAACAGCCCACCAUGCCGACGAUGGGUAGCCGAGCUGAGAGGCUGAUCGGCCACACUGGAACUGAGACACGGUCCAGACUCCUACGGGAGGCAGCAGUGGGGAAUAUUGGGCAAUGGGCGAAAGCCCUGACCCAGCAAUGCCGCGUGAGGGAAGAAGGUCUUCGGAUUGUAAACCUCUGUCCUUGGUGACGAAGGAAGUGACGGUAGCCAAGGAGGAAGCCCCGGCUAACUACGUGCCAGCCGCUGC
RNAcentral lists this ribosomal RNA (480 nucleotides) under uncultured bacterium. RNAcentral describes it as "bacterial SSU rRNA". It matches the Rfam family "Bacterial small subunit ribosomal RNA", at positions 24 to 518 of the family's 1533-position model. The record is from RNAcentral.